This is a long non-coding RNA of Callorhinus ursinus (northern fur seal), 1780 nucleotides long. RefSeq lists it as uncharacterized. Lineage: Eukaryota; Metazoa; Chordata; Mammalia; Carnivora; Otariidae. The record is from RefSeq and is a predicted model, not a curated record.
CAACUACCCUGAAGCCGCCAUCCUGUGAAGAAAUCACAGGUGGAACACAGUUCCAUGACAACCAUAAAAUAAUCAGCGCAGCCAAUAUCAGAAGAUUAACAGAGUUCUUUGCAUCUUGGAGGCCUGCAAACAUACAUGCAUGAACUACGAAGAGACACUUUUCUCAUGGAACCCGGAAUUCUCAUAGGUGUUCUACAGUUUGAAAAUAGCCCAAUCAUGAUGUUGUCACAAGGCUUAUUUUUAAGUAAUGAUUUUAAUUAAACCCUCUAAAAAGGAAGCGAUUCUGUACCUCUCUUAUACGAUGUGUACAAUGAUGAUUACACAAGUGCAGUUUCCCAUUUUCCUCUGGUGUCAUGGGGGCAAGGAUAACGAUUUCCAUCUCAUCACAGGACGGAGAGGCUAUACUUCACUCUGCACAAGACUCCAGUGAAAUCAGAGGGAGGAUUUUGCACAAUAAAAUUACAAUAAAAUAACUGAAGUAAAAGCAGUUUCCACAGAAGGGGUUCAAAGACAAGAGCAUCGUGCAGGAUACCACAGAAGAUUUUUACAUGGCAACAAAUUGAGAUUUUUUUUCCAGCUCACUGGGGCAGACUGGACGAGUAUAUUUUUGCAGGUUUCCCCAUUCUCGUUCCCUCAGAAUGGCCUCUGAAACAUGGAGGGGACAGGGCAUCCUCACAACCCAACGAUGAGUGGUUGAGAGAGAAUGAGUUAUGUAAGCCAGGACCUGGAAGGACUUUCACAUGAGUAGGUGGCAGGAUGGACUCUUGGCAAACUGAGCACAGAAAGAAGCAGAUUUACGGAGUGCAGCUUCUCCCUUCCCUCUUCUUAAAUAGCAUAUUAGUUCUAAUGAGAAUGCCACUGGGAUGAUACCAUUGGGGAUACCAAUGGAUCCAAAACUUCUGAGAAUAACAGGUCUCAAAGGAAGACCAGUGAACAAAGGGACAGACGAACACAGGCACAGAUUUGAGACUUUGUCAAGAAGGUUCCACCUCAGUCAAGUGAUUCAAGUGAAUGACAUCAGUAGUGGGACAAAUAAAAACUGCAUUAUCGGAUCAAAUGCAUUAAAAGGAACACAGCAUCACUUCAUCACUUGGAUACUCCUGAAUAAAAGAAUGAAGAAACAUUGCAUAAAUGCAUAAUGAGGAACAUUCUACAAAACAACUGGCCUGUAAUCUUCAAUAUUGUGACCGUCAUGAAAGCCAAGUAAAGGUCAUGGACUUAUUCCAGAUUAAAGAUGACUGAAAAGACAUGGCAGUUAAUUGCAAUGUAUGGUUUAUAACUGGAUUCUUCUACUAUAAAGGACGUUAUUGGAAUAACUGUCAAAAUUUGAAUGGGGUUGGUAAUGUACCAUGUGAAUUUUCUGAUUUUGAUGGUUAUAUUGCCGUUAUAUGGGAGAAUGUCCUUGUUUGUAGGAAAUACAUGUCUUAAUUCCUGAACUUGGGAGUAUGUUACCUAACAAGAUUUUGCAGAUGUAAUUAAGUUAGUAUUUUGAGAUGGGAGAUCAUAAGGAAUCUUUCAGGAGGAUCCUUAUCAGGGAAAGAAGAGAGCAGGAGAGUCAGAAUCAGAGAGGGAGAUGGGCUGAUUGAAGCAGAGGUUGGAGUGAUAUGACUUCCGGAAGGGGGAUAUAAGCCAAAGAGUGUGGGCAUCCUCCAGAAGCUGGACAAAGCAAGGAACGGAUUCUCCCCUAGGGCCUCCAGAAGGAAUGCGGCCCUGCUGACACCUGGAUUUUAGUCCAUUAAGACCAUUUUGGAGUUAUCCAACAGUAAGAGAAUAAAUCUGU